This 427-nucleotide ribosomal RNA is filed under the name uncultured bacterium. RNAcentral's name for it is "partial 16S ribosomal RNA". It matches the Rfam family "Bacterial small subunit ribosomal RNA", at positions 355 to 774 of the family's 1533-position model. The record is from RNAcentral.
UGGGGAAUAUUGCACAAUGGGCGCAAGCCUGAUGCAGCCAUGCCGCGUGUAUGAAGAAGGCCUUCGGGUUGUAAAGUACUUUCAGCGGGGAGGAAGGGAGUAAAGUUAAUACCUUUGCUCAUUGACGUUACCCGCAGAAGAAGCACCGGCUAACUCCGUGCCAGCAGCCGCGGUAAUACGGAGGGUGCAAGCGUUAAUCGGAAUUACUGGGCGUAAAGCGCACUCAGGCGGUUUGUUAAGUCAGAUGUGAAAUCCCCGGGCUCAACCUGGGAACUGCAUCUGAUACUGGCAAGCUUGAGUGUCGUAGAGGGGGGUAGAAUUCCAGGUGUAGCGGUGAAAUGCGUAGAGAUCUGGAGGAAUACCGGUGGCGAAGGCGGCCCCCUGGACGAAGACUGACGCUCAGGUGCGAAAGCGUGGGGAGCAAACA